Molecule: non-coding RNA, 197 nt
Filed under: Eisenbergiella porci
Lineage: Bacteria; Bacillati; Bacillota; Clostridia; Lachnospirales; Lachnospiraceae
Source: RNAcentral
AGAACUGAACACACGAAUAGUCGAAUGAUGGGGUAACGCCCUGAAAGGCUACUUUAAUACUCCGACUGGCAGAAUUAUGAGUAAAUAUAAGACUGUCAGAAGCUCGGUGAAGUCGGCAAAGAGAUACCGUAACAGAUAAUGCUGACGAAAAAUACCCAGAGGUGGGUGUCGUAUCCCAUAUGCCGGAAGUCUAUAAA